Molecule: ribosomal RNA, 183 nt
Filed under: Thraustochytriidae sp.
Lineage: Eukaryota; Bigyra; Thraustochytrida; Thraustochytriidae
Description: Thraustochytriaceae sp. partial small subunit ribosomal RNA
Rfam family: Eukaryotic small subunit ribosomal RNA
Source: RNAcentral
ACACUGUUCAUGUGGGCAGCAGCACAUGAGAAAUCAAAGUCUUUGGGUUCCGGGGGGAGUAUGGUCGCAAGGCUGAAACUUAAAGGAAUUGACGGAAGGGCACCACCAGGAGUGGAGCCUGCGGCUUAAUUUGACUCAACACGGGAAAACUUACCAGGUCCAGACAUAGGAAGGAUUGACAGA